RNAcentral lists this ribosomal RNA (253 nucleotides) under uncultured bacterium. RNAcentral describes it as "partial 16S ribosomal RNA". It matches the Rfam family "Bacterial small subunit ribosomal RNA", at positions 524 to 776 of the family's 1533-position model. The record is from RNAcentral.
UACGUAGGAGGCGAGCGUUGUCCGGAUUUACUGGGCGUAAAGCGCGCGCAGGCGGCACUUCAAGUAAGGUGUGAAAUCUCCCUGCUCAACGGGGAGGGUGCACUUUAGACUGAGGAGCUAGAGGACGGUAGAGGGGGGUGGAAUUGCUGGUGUAGCGGUGAAAUGCGUAGAGAUCAGCAGGAACACCCGUGGCGAAGGCGGCUAUCUGGACGGUUUCUGACACUAAGACUCGAAAGCGUGGGGAGCAAACAGG